AACUUUCAACAACGGAUCUCUUGGUUCUGGCAUCGAUGAAGAACGCAGCGAAAUGCGAUACGUAAUGUGAAUUGCAGACACCGUGAAUCAUCGAAUCUUUGAACGCACAUUGCGCCCUUUGGUAUUCCGAAGGGCAUGCCUGUUCGAGCGUCAUUA
RNAcentral lists this ribosomal RNA (156 nucleotides) under Zoellneria rosarum. RNAcentral's name for it is "5.8S ribosomal RNA". It matches the Rfam family "5.8S ribosomal RNA". Rfam says of the family: 5.8S ribosomal RNA (5.8S rRNA) is a component of the large subunit of the eukaryotic ribosome. It is transcribed by RNA polymerase I as part of the 45S precursor that also contains 18S and 28S rRNA. Functionally, it is thought that 5.8S rRNA may be involved in ribosome translocation. The record is from RNAcentral. Lineage: Eukaryota; Fungi; Ascomycota; Leotiomycetes; Chaetomellales; Chaetomellaceae.